GAAACUUCUAAUAGCUAAAGCAGAAAUGAUAUCAUAAAGCCAUCUUCCAAUUUUCUUAUUAAAUUGACAUAUAAUUCUAGACAUAAAGGUGGAUGUGAAGAAUAACGAUGAAUAAAAUAAGAAGCAGACCAUAUAUAAUCAUGUGAACAAAUAUGGAGGCAGCGCUUGUCUUCAUGUUCAUGAAAUCAAGUGGUCGUCCUUUUCCAGGAAUUUGAAACACCAAUCCUGGUGAUAGAAAUGCAAACAGAGCUGCAGCUAUGAUCGGAGCAGCCCAGUCCUUCAUGAUAUUCUCAAUACCCUUUUCUUCUCUCUGCUUCUUUCUUUUAAUUAGCAAUCUGAAACUCAACCUCUGUUUCUCAAAAGAGGAAGAGAAGAAGAAGAAUCAAACUAAAUAUAUAGAAAAGAAAAAACCCAAUAGAGAUAAAAAGAAAAAUAAAUAAUACCUUUUGGAAAUGGAGGGAAUAUUAAAGUGCAUGAAAUAAUAAAUUAUUUUAAAGGUUUUUGUUGGUAUAUACGUUGGGAGAUAGAGC
Molecule: long non-coding RNA, 530 nt
Filed under: Manihot esculenta (cassava)
Lineage: Eukaryota; Viridiplantae; Streptophyta; Magnoliopsida; Malpighiales; Euphorbiaceae
Description: long non-coding RNA (MESC_LNC009035)
Source: RNAcentral